This 236-nucleotide ribosomal RNA is filed under the name uncultured Planctomycetota bacterium. RNAcentral's name for it is "uncultured planctomycete partial 16S ribosomal RNA". It matches the Rfam family "Bacterial small subunit ribosomal RNA", at positions 385 to 612 of the family's 1533-position model. The record is from RNAcentral. Lineage: Bacteria; Pseudomonadati; Planctomycetota.
GACGAAGCGACGCCGCGUGAGCGAAGAAGGCCCUAGGGUUGUAAAGCUCUGUCGGGGGUUAUGAAAUGCAGGUUGGUUAAUACCCAACCUGUUUGACAAAGGCCCCAAAGGAAGCCACGGCUAACUCUGUGCCAGCAGCCGCGGUAAUACAGAGGUGGCAAGCGUUGUUCGGUAUUAUUGGGCGUAAAGAGCACGUAGGUGGUUUUGUAAGUCAGAUGUGAAAGCCUUCUGUUCAA